Molecule: ribosomal RNA, 200 nt
Filed under: uncultured bacterium
Lineage: Bacteria
Description: partial 16S ribosomal RNA
Rfam family: Bacterial small subunit ribosomal RNA
Source: RNAcentral
AGAGUUUGAUCCUGGCUCAGGACGAACGCUGGCGGCGUGCCUAAUACAUGCAAGUCGAGCGGAGUUUUAAAGUAGCUUGCUACUUUAAAACUUAGCGGCGGACGGGUGAGUAACACGUAGGUAACCUGCCUGCAAGACCGGGAUAACCUUCGGAAACGAAAGCUAAGACGGGAUACGCAAGAGAGAGGCAUCUUUCUCUU